This 1943-nucleotide ribosomal RNA is filed under the name freshwater metagenome. RNAcentral's name for it is "bacterial LSU rRNA". It matches the Rfam family "Bacterial large subunit ribosomal RNA", at positions 3 to 1984 of the family's 2925-position model. The record is from RNAcentral.
UCAAGUGAAGAAGCGCAUACGGUGGAUGCCUUGGCAGUCAGAGGCGAUGAAAGACGUGGUAGCCUGCGAUAAGCUUCGGGGAGUCGGCAAACAGACUUUGAUCCGGAGAUCUCUGAAUGGGGGAACCCACCUAGGAUAACCUAGGUAUCUUGUACUGAAUCCAUAGGUGCAAGAGGCGAACCAGGGGAACUGAAACAUCUAAGUACCCUGAGGAAAAGAAAUCAACCGAGAUUCCCUUAGUAGUGGCGAGCGAACGGGGAUUAGCCCUUAAGCUUCUUUGAUUUUAGCGGAACGCUCUGGAAAGUGCGGCCAUAGUGGGUGAUAGCCCUGUACGCGAAAAGGUCUUAGAAGUGAAAUCGAGUAGGACGGAGCACGAGAAACUUUGUCUGAAUAUGGGGGGACCAUCCUCCAAGGCUAAAUACUACUGACUGACCGAUAGUGAACCAGUACCGUGAGGGAAAGGCGAAAAGAACCCCGGAGAGGGGAGUGAAAUAGAACCUGAAACCGUAUGCGUACAAGCAGUGGGAGCCCACUUUGUUGGGUGACUGCGUACCUUUUGUAUAAUGGGUCAGCGACUUAUAUUCAGUGGCGAGCUUAACCGAAUAGGGGAGGCGUAGCGAAAGCGAGUCUUAAUAGGGCGUUUAGUCGCUGGGUAUAGACCCGAAACCGGGCGAUCUAUCCAUGGGCAGGUUGAAGGUUAGGUAACACUGACUGGAGGACCGAACCGACUACCGUUGAAAAGUUAGCGGAUGACCUGUGGAUCGGAGUGAAAGGCUAAUCAAGCUCGGAGAUAGCUGGUUCUCCUCGAAAGCUAUUUAGGUAGCGCCUCACGUAUCACUCCAGGGGGUAGAGCACUGUUUCGGCUAGGGGGUCAUCCCGACUUACCAAACCGAUGCAAACUCCGAAUACCUGGAAGUGCCGAGCAUGGGAGACACACGGCGGGUGCUAACGUCCGUCGUGAAAAGGGAAACAACCCAGACCGUCAGCUAAGGUCCCAAAGUUAUGGUUAAGUGGGAAACGAUGUGGGAAGGCUUAGACAGCUAGGAGGUUGGCUUAGAAGCAGCCACCCUUUAAAGAAAGCGUAAUAGCUCACUAGUCGAGUCGGCCUGCGCGGAAGAUGUAACGGGGCUCAAACCAUACACCGAAGCUACGGGUAUCACGUAAGUGAUGCGGUAGAGGAGCGUUCUGUAAGCCUGUGAAGGUGAGUUGAGAAGCUUGCUGGAGGUAUCAGAAGUGCGAAUGCUGACAUGAGUAACGACAAUGCGAGUGAAAAACUCGCACGCCGAAAGACCAAGGUUUCCUGCGCAACGUUAAUCGACGCAGGGUUAGUCGGCCCCUAAGGCGAGGCAGAAAUGCGUAGUCGAUGGGAAGCAGGUUAAUAUUCCUGCACUUCUAGUUACUGCGAUGGGGGGACGGAGAAGGCUAGGCCAGCACGGCGUUGGUUGUCCGUGUUUAAGGUGGUAGGCAGAGAUCUUAGGUAAAUCCGGGGUCUUAAUGCCGAGAACUGAUGACGAGUGUCCUUUUGGACAUGAAGUGGUUGAUGCCAUGCUUCCAGGAAAAGCCUCUAAGCUUCAGGUAACUAGGAACCGUACCCCAAACCGACACAGGUGGUUGGGUAGAGAAUACCAAGGCGCUUGAGAGAACUCGGGUGAAGGAACUAGGCAAAAUGGCACCGUAACUUCGGGAGAAGGUGCGCCGGUGAGGGUGAAGGAUUUACUCAGUAAGCCCAUGCCGGUCGAAGAUACCAGGCCGCUGCGACUGUUUAUUAAAAACACAGCACUCUGCAAACACGAAAGUGGACGUAUAGGGUGUGACGCCUGCCCGGUGCCGGAAGGUUAAUUGAUGGGGUUAGCGCAAGCGAAGCUCUUGAUCGAAGCCCCGGUAAACGGCGGCCGUAACUAUAACGGUCCUAAGGUAGCGAAAUUCCUUGUCGGGUAAGUUCC